Molecule: long non-coding RNA, 1709 nt
Organism: Musa acuminata AAA Group (dessert banana)
Lineage: Eukaryota; Viridiplantae; Streptophyta; Magnoliopsida; Zingiberales; Musaceae
Exons: 2
Source: RefSeq, a predicted model, not a curated record
AAUUGUUAGAGCUUAAUAUUUACCUCCUCCAUCAAAGUAAACUAUUUUAAUAAUAGACUUAAAAACGUUCUCGAUCAUCUUUUUAAAAUGAAUAAAAACUACAAUUACUUCAGAUAUAUGUUUGAGAGGAUAAAGCUAUGUAUAUUUAGUAAGUAACCUAUGAAGAUAAUAUAAAAUAUAAAAUUAUAAGCAGAAAUAUAUAUUUGUUGUUGGUACGUUAUAAGGAGAAGCAAAAAAAAAAAGAAAAGAAUGAAAGAAUGAAAGCGAAAAACAAUUAAAAUCUAAAAUGGAUAUAGAACCCAAUAUGUGGGGGAAAACCUAAGAAAGACACCAACCAGAAGAAAAAAAUAAGUGCAAAGAAAUAAGAAAAAAAAAUGUGGGUUGUUGUUGCUGCGUUAUAUGGAUAAAUAAAAAACGGUGAAAGAAAAGAAUGGAAGAAAAAAAAAAUCAAAAGAAGGCACCAACUGGGAGAAAAAAAAAGGGGGGGUUGGAUUGCUGUUGGUGCGUUAUAAGGAGAAAUAAAAAACAACAAGAAAAAAGGAAAAAAAGGAAAAAAUAAAAAAUUACCAUGUGAUGUGCCUUAUAUUUACAUCAAGAGAGUCGAUUUAAAUUAAAAAAAUUAUAUUUAUGUAUGUUUUCGAGAUCCUAUGAUUUUUUACUCAUAAGAAAAGUAGGUAGGAUUAUAGAUUAAUUAAUCUUAAUCAGAAAGAAAGAAGGAAGAAAAAAAAAUUAAAUGAUUACGAUUGGAAAUGAAAAAAUUACACUCUUUUGAUAAUAUAAAUAAUGGUGAUGUAAACUAUGAAGCUAUAUUCUGACAUCCAUUCCAAUAAACCACUUAAAAGCUGUACCGUCGACCGAACGAGCACAAGGGAAGGGAGUAUGCAUUAUAUGCUACGUUCAGGCCCUUUGAGUGAAGAUUGGCAGCCAUACACCAAACUUUCGUACGCUCACAAGUCUUUAAGGUUCUGCAUGCAGAAUGUGCAGCUUAGCAUUUCCGCCAUGGAAGGACAUAUGCGACGUAGAUGCUUGCCAAGCCAUCCAACGUGAGAUGGCUAAGAUGACCAUGAGAUUCACGUUUACGUACCUCAGCUUCCAUCCUUGGCCGACACCCAAGUGUUACGAAGGAUGAGAUGGAGAGGGAUCAUCAUCUCCAAUUCAGCCCUUGUAGGUGUUUCUUUUGACUUCAUCGCUUGCAGAACCUGAUGUGGGUCGAUCACGAGAUUCACGUUUAUGUAGGCACAUGUUAACCUUGGAGGGCUACAAAUACCCCCAUCCUCUUCCCAGAGGGAGGACGUGCAGCAUCCACCGUCUUCCCUAAGUUUCUUCCUGUGCAAAAGAAAGGAGUCUGCAAAUGGCGGGAGAGAUCAAGGUGGGGCUGUGGGGUGGCAACGGAGGGUCUGAAUGGGACAUGGGGGCUGCCGACCGCAUCACCGAAAUCAAGAUUGGCGCCGUAGAGGCCAUCUUUCGGCUGAGGACCAACAAGGACAGCUAUGGACCUUUCGGCUCCAGUGGCGGAAUACCUUUCUCCGUUCCGCUAGUCUCGGGUAAGAUCAUUGGCUUCUUUGGACGUGCGGGCGAAAUGAUUGAGGCCAUCGGAGUUUACCUGGCACCGAACUAGACCCCUUGGACUGAUACUGCUGCUUCAAUAAAUGAGUCUUGCUGAUACUUGGACUCCAUAAUAAAUGAACUGAAAUGAACUGUUACUGUCA